CCUACGGGUGGCAGCAGUGAGGAAUAUUGGUCAAUGGACGAGAGUCUGAACCAGCCAAGUAGCGUGAAGGAUGACUGCCCUAUGGGUGGUAAACUUCUUUUAUAAAGGAAUAAAACGAGGCACGUGUGCCUUUUUGCAUGUACUUUAUGAAUAAGGAUCGGCUAACUCCGUGCCAGCAGCCGCGGUAAUACGGAGGAUCCGAGCGUUCUCCGGAUGUAUUGGGUUUAAAGGGAGCGUAGAUGGGUUGUUAAGUCAGUUGUGAAAGUUUGCGGCUCAACCGUAAAAUUGCAAUUGAUACUGGCAGUCUUGAGUACAGUUGAGGUAGGCGGAAUUCGUGGUGUAGCGGUGAAAUGCUUAGAUAUCACGAAGAACCCCGAUUGCGAAGGCAGCUUACUAGACUGUGACUGACAUUGAUGCUCGAAAGUGUGGGUAUCAAACAGGAUUAGAUACCCUGGUAGUC
Molecule: ribosomal RNA, 460 nt
Filed under: uncultured bacterium
Lineage: Bacteria
Description: partial 16S ribosomal RNA
Rfam family: Bacterial small subunit ribosomal RNA
Source: RNAcentral